This 875-nucleotide ribosomal RNA is filed under the name uncultured Candidatus Nitrosopumilus sp. RNAcentral's name for it is "bacterial SSU rRNA". It matches the Rfam family "Archaeal small subunit ribosomal RNA", at positions 21 to 903 of the family's 1478-position model. Lineage: Archaea; Thermoproteati; Nitrososphaerota; Nitrososphaeria; Nitrosopumilales; Nitrosopumilaceae. The record is from RNAcentral.
CCUGACUGCUAUCGGAUUGAUAUUAAGCCAUGCGAGUCUUUGUAGCAAUACAAGGCAGACGGCUCAGUAACACGUAGUCAAUUUACCCUAUGGACGGGGAUAACCUCGGGAAACUGAGAAUAAUACCCGAUAGAUCAUUAUUCCUGGAAUGGUUUAUGGUUCAAAUGAUUUUUCGCCAUAGGAUGAGACUGCGGUCUAUCAGCUUGUUGGUGAGGUAAUGGCCCACCAAGGCUAUAACAGAUACGGGCUCUGAGAGGAGAAGCCCGGAGAUGGGUACUGAGACACGGACCCAGGUCCUAUGGGGCGCAGCAGGCGAGAAAACUUUGCAAUGUGCGAAAGCACGACAAGGUUAAUCCGAGUGUUUUCUGCUAAAGAAAUCUUUUGUCAGUCCUAAAAACACUGACGAAUAAGGGGUGGGCAAGUUCUGGUGUCAGCCGCCGCGGUAAAACCAGCACCUCAAGUGGUCAGGAUGAUUAUUGGGCCUAAAGCAUCCGUAGCCGGCUCUGUAAGUUUUCGGUUAAAUCUAUAUGCUCAACAUAUAGGCUGCCGGGAAUACUGCACAGCUAGGGAGUGGGAGAGGUAGACGGUACUCGGUAGGAAGGGGUAAAAUCCUUUGAUCUAUCGAUGACCACCUGUGGCGAAGGCGGUCUACUAGAACACGUUCGACGGUGAGGGAUGAAAGCUAGGGGAGCAAACCGGAUUAGAUACCCGGGUAGUCCUAGCCGUAAACUAUGCAAACUCAGUGAUGCACUGGCUUGUGGCCAGUGCAGUGCCGCAGGGAAGCCGUUAAGUUUGCCGCCUGGGAAGUACGUACGCAAGUAUGAAACUUAAAGGAAUUGGCGGGGGAGCACCACAAGGGGUGAAGCCUGCGGUUC